CAAAUACUCCCUCCGUCCGGAAAUACUUGUCAUCAAAAUGGAUAAAAGGAAAUGUAUCUAGACGUAUUUUAGUUUUAGAUACAUCUCUUUUUAUCCAUUUUGAUGAUAAGUAGUUUCGGACAGAGGGAGUAGAAA
Molecule: non-coding RNA, 135 nt
Organism: Triticum aestivum (bread wheat)
Lineage: Eukaryota; Viridiplantae; Streptophyta; Magnoliopsida; Poales; Poaceae
Source: Rfam